UUUCCACACAGCAGUUGUGCCAGCACAACAGAAGGGAUGGCACAGGCUGGAAACAGCAGCCAGGAGAGUGGGGAGGAAGGAGCUGUAUCUGCAUGAACUAACCUUGCUGCUAAGGAAAUGUGCUGGUUAACAACAUCAACACGUACAGGUAGCGCUGUUUCCUUUACUGGACUUGCUUAUAGAAAUACAAUUUGUAUCUCCAAAACUAGAUCUAAAUUACUGAAAGGAAGUUGCUAGCUGAAUGCGUAUUUUUAAACAAAAACUUCUCUAUGGAUACAAAAAUGAAGGGUGCUAAUACAAGAAAGGAAAAAAAGGCUAGAGUGAUUUGACCAGAAAGAUGUAGCUUUUACAUGUGCCUUUUACAUUGCUACUGCUGCUUAUGAUCAGAAUCUGAAUGGUUCUAAGGAUCAAUGAAAGGCAAUACAGUUUUUCUUUUUUAGCUAUACAGAAUGAUAGACCAACUGUUUGCAUCAAACGGGCAUUUCACUUCAGCAAUUUGGCUUUUGUUUUUUUGUCUGUAUAUGUACCAUAUAUAUAGUAUUAUUUUGGUAAUACAUUUCAGCUGACAGCUUACUGUGCAUGUGAACCAAAGAAUGCAUCACUAAUUUUUGGGCAAAGCCUUAUUGACACCAAGGGUCCUUCAUUUUCUAGUGAAGUAUGGUGAGCACUGCAGUCUCCUAUCAGUACUUUUGUUCCCAAAACAGGAAUACAGACUUUUUAAAAUAGUGGAGAGAAAUUGAGUAAAUCAAA
RNAcentral lists this long non-coding RNA (750 nucleotides) under Gallus gallus (chicken). RNAcentral describes it as "long non-coding RNA NONGGAT016094". Lineage: Eukaryota; Metazoa; Chordata; Aves; Galliformes; Phasianidae. The record is from RNAcentral.